AUGAGGCAUUUUUGAAUAAGUCAGAAGAAUGGAUAAGAAAGAUGCUUCAUCUUAGGAAACAGUUAUUAUCUCUGACUAAUCAGUGUUUUGAUAUUGAAGAAGAAGUAUCAAAAUAUCAAGAAUAUACUAAUGAGUUACAAGAAACUCUGCCUCAGAAAAUGUUUACAGCUUCCAGUGGAAUCAAACAUACCAUGACCCCAAUUUAUCCAAGUUCUAACACAUUAGUAGAAAUGACUCUUGGGUAAGAAACUCAUCAUUUGGAAACUGUAGUGUUUCCAUUUGCUUUCAUUGCAGUUUGUGCUUUUGCUUUUACAUUUUGAAAUUUUUUAUGUUUGUUGUAAUACAAUAUUUAAUAAGGUUAUUUAUUGACCAGUUAAAAGAAAAUAAAACAUAAACAUCAUUCUAAAA
This 408-nucleotide small RNA is filed under the name Pongo abelii (Sumatran orangutan). Its description in RNAcentral is "retained intron". The record is from RNAcentral. Lineage: Eukaryota; Metazoa; Chordata; Mammalia; Primates; Hominidae.